UCCCCGCUCCCGUCCCGACGAAUAUUCCAGGCCGGGCCGCGCGGGUGGGCGGCGAGGGGGGAAACCGUAGUGGGGGCUUUCGGACCCGUCUCCUUCUCCGAGCCUUCCACGUCCUUCGCGGGUCGGCGCCGCGCUUCCCUCCCCUCCCCCCCCCCGAUUCUCCUUCCUCGCUUUUUCCCCCUUCUCUCCCCUCUCCCCGGGGGCGGCCGCGUUCCCCGCUUCCCCUCCGCCGCCCCCGUGCUCCCCGCAGCGCGGCGGGGGUUCGCGCCGCCCCUCGCGGCCCUCAGCGCCGCCUCCCGCGCGGCUCUCCCUCCUUCCCUCCCCUCCUCCGCUCCUCUCCUCUCCCCAGGUGCCGCCGCUGUCCCCCGCCUCGUUCUGCUCAUCUCCGGCCCGGGAGCCGUUGGGGCAUGUAGCCCGUGGCGGCGGUGGAGCCGGCCGGGUGCGGGGAGCUCCGUGUCGGAGUCUCUCGGCUCCCUUUAAUCAUGGCGAUUUAAAUUUCCCUUUUACUGCCGUAAAAUUAACCCCGAGAUACGGCGCGGAGCCGUGUAGUAUUGCGUGCCGACACUAGGGGUGUCUCCUGCCUGCCGCCGCUGCCAAGAAAUCAACGCCCUGUUUUAACAAACACGUAUUCUAGCCCAAAUUCUCCUCUCCCGGGCUGUGGCAGCGUUCUGGCGUUGCAGUUGCAGGACUGCUGGUGGCUUAAGCUUUUCCAUUCUUCCCUCCCCAAGAGCGAGGCCAGCUGUCUGUCACCGCCCCGCAGGGCCCAGCAGCUCAGAAGGGGCUCUUCUCUUGUUUUUAAGCGGGGGUUUGUGUUCUCUGCCUUAAAAACUGAGCUACGUGGCACGCUCAUUGAGCUUCAGUGGCUGUUACAUGUGAAUUUGAAGAAGCGGAGGCUGGGUUUGUUGUCAGCUGUGGCCUAAAACAGUGUGAGUAACGAAUGGCUACAUGCCCUCCUUGGAAGGCAGAGAAGGAGAAUUAGUGAGGUUAGAAGCUUAAAAGAACCAGAGAGUUGAAAUUAUAAACAAUACUGCGGUUGUGGUUCUGCUGAUGGUGCUGUGAAGAUCCAGGUGAACACUUGCCACCUUCCAGGCACCAGCUGAGCUCAUGCUGCCAUUUGCUGGGGCUUCUGAGGAAAUCUUGCUCUCCAGGACUUGCCUGAUGCCAGCAUGCAUAAAAGGAAAGGAAAUGUUAUUUGGCAGUGAUGCCCAUGAGUGUAUUAGUAGCCUGUAAGGAAUCGGACUUCUGUGUAUGAUAACUUCCAUUUUUUUCCUUUGUUUUGCCUUAAAUGAAGCUGCUGUGACAUCUCCUGCUGAUAUUUAAUCAUACUGCUUAUUACUUUGGCUUCUUGAACAGUAUCUCUUUUUAAUCAAUCAACUGCCACGUGCAAAUGCUGAUGAAUGAAAAAGAUAUUCCAGAUGUUACUUUGGUCAGCAAAGGUGCAUCUUUGCAAGAACAAGCAAUGUGGAGAGCACUGACUGUGACUGCACCAGUAUCAUUUCUGGUAUGAUUGUAGAUGCCUGGAGAAAAUCACGUGAAAACUAAGCAGUUGUCACAUCAAUGUGUUUUUUAAUACUUUUUACCACAGGCAUCGUUUUAGUUGCUGUUCUUAGUGUUGUUACCCUGUGGGUAUUCUCAUUGAAAGCAUUUGCUUUAAAUAGCAAAACAGGGCAGAUCUUGAUUCAGUCUUUAUUUAAUUUCAGUAUAGCAAUCUUAUUUUUGUAGUUCAAAGUUCUUUGCUUUUUCUUCUGUGUUGUUACAGGGCCGGGGGGCUGACGGUUGUAGUGCAGAGCAAAAGGUGAACAUGUUCAUAGGAGGUAGCUUAAGACAUAACAUUGACAUCUAGUAAGUAAAAGAAUGUAGGUCUGGAUAUUUUGGUAUAGCUAGUUCAAAAUCCUACCAAGCAGAGAGCAGAGUAUGAUACUUCCAUUACAUAACAGUAGAAGUGUUGCUGUAUUCUGUCAGAGUUGACUUAGUAAAUACUGUUCCUAGAAAAAUGUAUUAUGAGAAGGUAAAUAGAUAGAUGCUAAUAAACAAUCUUGGGUUUAGUUAGAUUUGUUUUGUUGGGGUCACCUGUGUUCAAACAGAGGGGACUUCACAGUGGCCUGUCUGAUUGAUUCAUAUAUCUAGCUCUUGAGCUUUAUGGUUGUAGGACAGAAAUAUGCAGGAGUCACCCAAAUGGUGUUAUAUAAUGCAUCUUUCUAGCAAGCUGAGAGAGUCUUUGGGAAAUGAAAGGAGCCAGUCUGAAUUUGGACACUGCUGUUGCUAGUCUCUGCUUAGAAGUGACUUUCUUCACUUGAGCAGUGUUGGUGCUUCUGGCACUUGAGCAUCCUUUCCAGAUGAAGCCAUUCAUUCCCAGGCUGAUGUAAAAUGGUGUUUCUGAAUGACUGAAGCCAAGAACCACCAAAACAUUUCUUUCAGAAAUAAAAACAAAACAAACACCAUGAGGCUGUCUUGAGUGCUUCUGUACUGUUUUUCAGGGAGGUUGCUAAAUAAGCCAUUAGCUGAAAGAAAAAACAAAACAAGAGUUAUUCUGCUACCAAAUCACAGUUUGACUGCUGUAAUUCUAAACUCUCAGGAAGUCAUUUCAGCUUUGCCUGCUGCCUUAGUCCAGGUGAUACGGACUGAGAAGUGUUCAGUAUUCCCUCACAUUACAUCUGACAGCAAAAUAGAAGUCUGCUGCCAAACAGGAACUAACCAAUCUAGGAUCCAACAUGUAAAAGUGUGUGUAGGUCUUUAGAAAGUAGAGCAUUUGGGGUAGGCUUACUUCAGGCAUUCUACUUAAUAUAUGAUUUUGGUUUAGAAAUAAAUUUUCAGGUCUAUAGUUUUGAAGCCAGUUUGAAUAUUUAAGUUUACUAAGGUCUGUGAUCUACAGAGGAACAUGGGGAAUGUUGAUGAAUGAGGAAAGAAACUUUUAAAAACAAUUAUAAUGUUCCAUUGAUGGAGUAAAGGUGGAAUUUUGUGUUUAUGCAGUGGAAGAUGUGUUUAGGAGGGAGUAAAAACUGAGUCAUUUAAGGGAAAAUGAUGUGUGAUGGGAGUGCCUUGGGAUCUUUAUUUAUCUUCCAAGGUAUUUGACAUAGCCCUGAAAGAGAAGCUUUGAGGGGGUGAGAUUAACAACAUCUAAAUUAGGAUUUCUAUAGGUAUGCUCAAGAAGAUGAGGCUGUCCAAUUUGCUUAGUGACACUUUUUCCUAUUUUUGCACCCUUUUCUUCUUCUAACUUAUGUUUUUCUCUUUUCCUAAGCUUGUUUAUUCCUACAGAAAGGCCACAAAAGCAGAGGGAGCUGUUUGUUCCCAUGCUUCCUAUAUGUUAGUUCUUUCCCAGAAUCACCAUCAGGAAUAGGGAAGGUGCUCCUGUGGCCCUAUCACAGUUAAACUCUGCUUCUGGAGGAGCAAAUGGUAAAAGGGUGGGAGAGUAAAGAUUGAAGUGAUGGGGGAAGAAUGAUGUAAGGCCUUGGUCUACAUCGGGACAGAGGAGUGGAAAGUGCUUGUGCUGUGCAGCUGUAUGUUGCAAGAAAAUAAAUGUCUCAUUUUUACUUUCAUAUUCCUAUUAAAACAAGAAGAAAAUUCUGACUCCUUACCUCUGUAAAUGGUAAAAGUCUUACUGACUGACUUGAUUAUGUAAAUUGCUGCUACAUGUUCUUUCUUUCCCCAAAACCAUGAGCACUUAGCUUGCUGUGCUGUCAUGAGGCUGGUAAAUACUGCCCUUGUUCUACCAAUGAAAAAUUUUGAGAUUAGGGAAAACAACUUACCCAAGGCUUUUUGUUCCGUAGAAGUUAACUGGGUGUGAUCUGAGAAAUACAGAAUGUGUUUGUAAAUCUGAAAAUAAAUAUUAAGUGUGAAUCAGAUGAAUGCUCACAGUUUUGAGGUCUUGGGGUUAAUGGUUUAGUUUGCAUGCAUCCACCUGGCAGCAUGGUGUCUCUUCAGGCACUGGAUGGUAUGCUGUACCUAAAAAGCUUAGUCGUGCACUGCCUUCUUUCAGCUUCUUUGUAGCACUGUGUAGCACCAUUUAGAGAGGCUUCUUUCAGAAAUCAGACCUGGGAACUGCCUGCUAUAUCCAAUGAAAGCUAUCCAGCAAGAGAGGCUUGGAACUCUCUGUCUUGUCUGUAACUUGGCAUUUACAAGCUCUGUUGACACUCUGUUCCACAAGUAAUGAAGAAACCCUAAUGAUAUAAAUAAUACUUAGCUAUGUUAAAGAAGUCUUAGAAAUCUUUUAGAUGCUUUGGAUUAAAGGACAGCAUUGCUCAGGAAGUGUCAACAAAAAUCUUGUCUUCCAAGCUGUAAACGGGUUAUGAGAGCUAAUAGACUCAGGUGAAUGUUUGCGGAGUCUGUGUGGAUGGACACUUCUAAGCAAACUGCUAAGGCAAAGAACCGGAACUCCCCCAGUAAGCUGAUACUGUGCCUUUAAAAAGCUUCUGUAGUCAGCCUGAAGAUCACAAGCACAAUUAUAUCAUUACCUAAGUAAGUUAAAGUUGGAAAUAAAAAUGUAUUAAGACAUUUGUUGGCUAAAGAACUUCAGCCAGAUUUUGGGAGGAAGGGCUGUGAUGGGAUGCGGUAGGAUAAGAGAUGGAAAGCCCAGAAAUGAAGACCAGGAAUAUGCUUUUAUGAAGAACCCAGCUACCAGCUAGAGAAGUAGAAUUCAGCUGUGAUUUGCACAAAAAUAUCAUCUUAGUACAUUCCCCAACUAUUAAAGGUUUAAGGAUAGAGUCAUAGAAUUGCUAAGGUUGGAAAAGACCUAUGAGAUCAUAUAGUCCAAAUGUCAACCCACCCCCAGCGUGCCCAAUAAACCGUGUCCCUCAGUGCCAUGUCUGCCCUUUUCUCAACUGCCUGCAGGGAUGGUGACUCCACCACCCCCUGGGCAGCCUGUGCCACUGCCUCACCACUCUUUCUGACAUGAUCUUUUUCCUAAUAUCCAACCUGAACCUCUUCUGGCACAACUUGAGGCUAUCGCCUCCUGUCCUACCCUUACUGUAAGAAGCUUUUUACUUAUAUCCAAUCUAAAUCUCCCCUCUUCUAGUUUGAAACCGUUUUCCCAAAUUUGAUUUACUGCUGAGCCACUGCUUAGCAGGCCUGGUGUCUGAGCGGUGUUGUUGCUACUGAGUCAGUGCUGAUAACACUGAAAGAGCACUUGACAGUUUUCACAUGUCAAAGCUUGAUUGCCUGUAGUUCUGCUAACCUGAAAAAAAUCUGUAUGAAUUAAACAGACUUGAUUUCUAUAUUUGAUCUCAGUUUAUUAUCUUAGCACACUAAUCACUGUAGUAAAUCAGGAUAUCUAAAUGAAAUGGCAGUUCAUUACAUGUUGUUAAACUGUUUUUUCAGGAGUUGUAAGAAAAGUUCAGGUAGUUUUCCCUGAAGUACUUUGCUCAAAAUGUGGUUUGACUCCUUCAGUAAUUGUACAGCUGGAGGCAUUUGCACAGGCACCACUGCUGUUGUUUUGAUGUCAGGCAGUGUACUGAAAAGUCUCGUUAGUGACAAAAAAACAUUCAUAAAGUAUGGAAAGUUAAUAACUUUGAAUCUUAUGUAUGAACGUUUGAGUGCAGUUCUAGUGUUGCUAGAUCUGAGUUUGUCCAGAAUUCAACUGUGAAACGUGCUCUUUUGAGAGGCCUGAGAUAGCUAGAAGGUUACAUUUCCUUUGCUGAUGAGAAAACAAAGAGUCAUGUGAGAGGAAGGGCCUAAAAUUGACAGGAAGUAGAAGAUGAUGGUUUUUAAUCCAUAGGUGUUGUAUGUAAUAACAAAGUGCUGGAAUGUUCCGUAAUAGGAUGCAGAGUAGAUAAGGAUUCCCAAAGAAUUGAGAAAAGUUGAUUUGAGUGACAGGUGAAGGGAUUUUUAACAGCAGUUUUCUUGUGGAUUAUUUCUCAGGGGUGUCAUUUAGCAUCUGUGCUGUUGUUUUGUCAAGUCAAUGAACCCAUGUUUCCCAGCAUCUCUCAAAACAGCACUAAAAAUACUCAUCUUAAAAUUGCAUUUGAUUUACAGACUGGUGUACAAAUGUAUGUGUAUCAUAUGCCUCUGAGUUUGCAAGCUGUAAACUUCAGAAAGCUUAGCCUAUGAGAAGGUGAGGUGGGAAGCUGCAGAAAGGCAGCAGUAGCCUGUGGGCUGUGGGUAGAUUGUGUAUGCAGGCACAGUUGUGUCAAAGCCUUUGGUGGAUGGGUGCAGUGACUGGGGCUGUGCCUUGAAGUGGGAUGACUGGAUUCUGGGUUGUGAGCCUCCAGAGCAGCUGGAAUUCCCUGGGGCUGUGCAGGGGUGCAGCUACUGGGCUUAUUUUGGGAGGCUGUGGACCCUGUCAAUAGCAGUAAUUCUUUCAAUGCUGCUUUGUGUGUACUGUCAGGCUUGCUUUUAUGUACAUUUAAUGUAAAUUUACUGCUCUUCUUGGGCCAGUUGAUUUUAACCUUAUUGCUAAUUAGAACAAUUAAUAAGCUUUGAUUUCUGAAAGGAUGAAGAGGAAUUUGUUCUUCAGCACGUGCUAUGAAUCUUACAAAAAAUGCAAGCCAGAGUAAGUUAGAUUUUGGAUAGUUGUUCAAAUAUCUGAUAUCUGUUACUGUCUAAAAACUACCAAAACUGGGUUUGAAUUUUAAUUCUAUCUUUUGAGUAUCCUCCCUCUAUAAACUUGUAGUAAAAAUGCUACAUGUCUGUAUUGGCUACUGAGUGCUAAAUAUUUGCACCUAAACUACUGCUUUCAAUUGCAUUUGUCUAUGUCACAUAACCAACUCCUGGGUGGGUGUCACCUCACCACCGAGAUGUGGAAGAAGUCAGCAUUUCCUCUGUCAUACAAGUCGUAUGAAGAAAACUGUUCAAGGCUUUGCAAUAUUUCUUAGCAGUAAGAAGGCGAAUUGAAAGCAGCGUGGCAUUUUUGUGUUUUGCUGUUUGUCAGUUUGCAUUCCUCUGAUGUGAAAGUCUGUGAUCAUAACUGGAAGGCUUUGGAAGCUUGCAUGGCAUCAUCUUCACCAGUAGCAGUGUUAGAAAUUUGGACUGUCCCUUUAGAAUUGUAAUGCCCAAGAUACCUUUUAAUGUAUUAUAAAAUUAUUGGUAUUUUAAUUAAAAUGGGUGUGUUUUGGAUAGCUGUGUUGGAAGGGCCUGUUUUCAAACCAUGACUCAUCUUUCUUCUUGACUGAAUAAAUUCUUCACACAUCCCUCGGUGUCAUAAACCAAACCAGAGCUUGUUAAAAUGUCUCAAUAUCUGUCAGCUGUAAGUUCUGAUUAAAUUAUUUUCGUUUUUGGGGAAAAGAGGAGCUGAGUAUUAAGAUUAAUAUCAACUAUUAGACAUGGUUAAGAAUACCAGAGUACAAUAUCUAUUUUUCAGAUUCUGUAUCUAUGCAACCACUUCCCUUCAGCACAGCCUGCCUCUUCCUUAGCUUUGCACAUCCUGUCCAGUUUAGCAUCUUUGGCUCCUUCAGUUUUUGUUCUUGUCAGUUCAUGACAUCGAGUCCCAUUUUUUAACAACUGUCUCAGUUUCUAGAUGCGUGUCCUUGACACAGUUCUUUGUAACAUUUUCAGGCCUUUUUGUGAUAGAUCACGAGGGAAGUUCUAUUUGUUACCUACUUUUCUUUAUGAUCUUUUUUGAAGUGCUCUUUCCAUUCUGGCUCUAGUUGCUGGCCAGCCGUAAGACUCUUAUCUCCCUUCUCUUAAAUUCAGACUUCCCUUUUUUGCACUAAGUGGUAUCAAACUCUUUAUAAGCUGCUUACAUGAGGAGGAGGAGCUGGUGACAGCAUCUAUUCAUGCGACUUGUUUCAGUGCUCUUCCAGUACUCUAUACUCAAGUAAGUACUGUGCAUUGACCUGUGUGACUUUCUUGAAACUUAGACUGUGUGAAUUGAUGAUACUCCCCAAUUGACACUUAAACUUCUCCACUAAAGGACAUUUGACUCUUUUGAACUGUCACUGUUGACUGCAUCAGCUUUCUUUUCCUGCUAGGCCAUUUCAGAUCCAUUUAAAAAUAUCCAUGCAACUGUUCCUAUAGCCUUAACCUUUGUGAUGAGCACACUGCUGAAUAAUCUGUUAAAAUCUAGCAACUUAGGAGAAUCAGUUGGUAGAGGGAGAUGCACUGGUCACAUUGCUUUGAGUGUUCCUAACCUUUAGAAGGUAAUUACAGUCAACUGUAAUACAUAAUAAUAGUAUUUAUACUAAUUGAUACUAUUACAUGAUGUAGUACACAAUGUUAUCUUGAUUUCUUGUAAUAUAGAAUGUGUCUUUGCUACUUCUUUUUCCUUUCCAAAUACUUCCUGCAACAGGACAGUGAAUGUUGUCUAACCCAUCUUCCCCCCAUAAAGCAGCUGUGGUGACUGUUUUUCUGGUACUAAUCUUCUGUUCUUCACUUGCACAGUUCAAUUAACUGUUUAUGGUAAGGGAAAUUUACCAGAUAAUUCUGGAGCAAAUAGAUUAGUUUAUAUUUUCCUUUGCUGUUAGAUGAUGACGGGCUCUGUUUGAUUUCCAGCUGGGUUCUCAUCUGUUAUAUUUGCCUGAAUCUAAUACAUACCUCAGAUACAUCUGUAUGUUCCUAUGCAGGCCUUGUUGCCUUUUCAUGCUGAAGUUAGGAAAAGAUUUGUUUUUCCUACUGGGUGUUGCCUGACUGCUAUUGCUCAUUUGGUGCUUUUGGAAAACCCUCUGCAAAGAGAUGUAGUAUUUCUCCUUUCUAAUGCUAGCAGCUUUGGUAUUAGCUGUGUGAAACUGAUCUAGUGAUUAUCAGUUUUCUUGCUGCCUGUUCUCUCUUUCAGUGCUAUAUCUGAUUUUGGUGCAAGCAAACUAAGGAAGUUCAGAGGCUUCAGAAGGCAGCCACUGUUAGCUUUGCUCACUUUUGUAUUGUCACAGCUCAUGCUUUGAAGAGACAGGGUUCUUCAUUCUACAGGUAAUGCAAAUGCUUACCUUUAAGUUUUUUCCAAAAUGUUUCAGAAAUCAAUUUAAAUUUCCAAGCAGAGUAACAAGUAAUCAUAAUUUCCAUAACACGCUAAAGCAUAUUUACAUGCAUUGCAGUGAGAAGACAAACUAUCUUUACACCCCUCUGGGCUCAGUGACAAUAGUGUUUGGCUGGAAGCACUAUAGAGAAUAUAUAUGCAUUAUUUUUUUAUUUUAACUUUGGAGGGAUGCAUUGCAAUAAAUUGAGUUCCUGCUCAGUUGCUCAGGAGAGCUCUUUGCUGAAGCUCCCUCAUUUAUCCUGUUUUUAUGGUAUCUGGAAGUGCCGGUGAUUAAAUUGGCAUACUUGAAAGCAGCCUUGUGAGAGUUUCUAUGUAGAGCAAAUCAGAGUUCAGUAUGGCUGUAGGUCAAAUGAAUAUCUUUUAAUAAAGUAACUCUUCCUAUUUUUAUGUAGGUCAGCCAAGGGUUAGUUCUCAGUUUGGUUGGACUGCUGUUCCAUGGCUUUGUAUUGGCGUGGAAGCUUUGAACACUGUUUUCUGAGCACUUCAGACAAAAACUUCUACCUCCAAUUUGUUGCAGAGAAAGGGAGAAGCCAAGGGAGCCUUGAGAGCCUGCUCAGUAUUUUACUGGUAAAACUGGUGGUUUGACUCAUGGUAGUUUCGUGUUUCAUCAUUUGACAGCCUGUGAGAUGUUAGAUAGUGGCUUAAGCAUGAACUGUCUGUCCUAAGUUCUCCUAGAUUUUUGGUGAUGCUUGCAUGCGUUGCCUUAAUGCUGGAUGAGGUUUGGUUUUCUUUGCUCUUUGGAUUUGGAAAAAUAAAGCAAUCUGUAGUUGCUUUUCUUUCACACAGCCACACACUGCUUCCAGUUGCUUGGGUUUUUAAUGCUGAUAUUUAUCAGUGAAAAGAGAACAUUCCUGAUUAUUGAUCAGCCUUAAGCAAAAGAUUUUAAAUGGCUGUUAUUGCCAAUUUGUAUCCCCUAAUGUCUCUAAGAUCAGUGUAAUAUGUUUGGGGUUUUUUUGUUUCUUUUUUCAGUUCUCCCCUCAAGUGCAAGUUGUUCUUGCUGUGCAAGGAAUUCUUGAUCUGUUGGAUGCCUUGCUCUCAUUUCUUUAAGAUGCUGAUCCUUAACUCUGAUAAUGUAAUACCAUAGUUGUUGGUUACAAUCUUCAAUCAUGCUUUCUACUUUUUCUGCAUAGGAAAAAGAUUAUUGGCUUCCUUGAGAUGCUCUAUAAAACUUUUCAACUCCACUUUUGUUAUUCAGAAAGGUCAGUGGAGUUUUUAAGCUUACAUCACCUGUAUGUCUGGUAGCUGGGUUUGUACUUGGGCUACUGAUCAGGCAGCACAGUGUUGUUCUUGUUGUCACUAGCAUAUGGCACAAGGUGUCUGUCCAUGUUAAGGCAGUGCUUUGGGGUGGCUUGGUUAGGCAGCUCAUUGCGUUCAUCUUGUGAGUCCCCAGAGAAGUCUGCUGUGGUCUCCUCUUUAGCCAGGGACACCGAAUGAACUUCACAGAAGAGCUUUGUGUGCUUGUUUUCUCUGCAGUAAUAUUCCUGAACAGGCAGGACUGUUAAUGCUGUUCUGUCACAACAGGUUUGCUGUUUCUGACCAUCUCUCUUAGAGCUACCGAGAAUGUCUGAGUAAGGCUUAUGCAAUUGUAGUGGGGGCUGGGAUGCUAUCUUGAUGCUGUCUUUUUUUGGUCUGUGUCUUAAGACUUUACUUUGAAGAGUGAAGACUUUACUUUAAAGAGUGAUCGAUGCCAGGUUUCUGAACGUGCAGUAACCUAGAAUAUUGCUUGAGAGUACAGACCCCCAACAGUUUUACAGAUAGCACAAAUUUGAUUUAUGUGGUUUGAAAACAGAGAUUGUUCCUUGUGAAAAAUCAUUUCACUUGAGACCACAUCUUACUUGUCACUGGGAAUUACCUCUAUUUGCCAAGAGUUUUCAGGCCUUCUAAUGGCUUAAAUAGUUGUGAAGAGCCAGUGACAACAUGGCACAUACCUGAUAAGUUCUUCCAUAUUUUGGGCUUGAACUUGUGUGCCUGGAAGUUCUCUGCUGUUGCCAGUUACACUAGUAAACCAAGUAAGAGGUUUUAUGGGUGAAACCAGUGUGUGAAUGUAAAUGGAGCAAUUAAAUUACUGCCUUGUAAAUUUUUUGUGACUUAUCUUGAAGGUACAGAGAACCAUCUUGGCUUCCUAACGUGUGCUCACUUGCAUGAGAACUUCAGUGCAUUGCUGACAGAACCUUAAUCUACAAAAGUUACUUCAGCAUCUUUCUGAGAAACUGUCCCGUCCUUGGCUUUUGGAGAGUCAUUAUUCAUUUAUGCUUGGCAAAUUAUAGCACUCGGGGAAUUUUCAAUACUCAUGCAAGCUUUAGAAAUGCCAGCUCUGCAGCGAUUGCGUAGAUAGGGUUGUGUCCUCCCAGCAGCCGUAGCUGGGAUCUGCCAAAAGUGAAGUCGGCCCAUGGCUCACAGGGAAUGGUGCCUUAGCUCCCAAAGUUACCACAUCUGUUCCUGACACUGUUGUCUCUGAAGUUUUAUUUGCAGGUUGCAGUAUUUACGCAGGUUUUGGCAGUGAUGUCUUGCUAUUUCUUAUGGAAGUUUGUGGUUUUUCAUGCAUAUGAGUGCAGAUAAUAAGGAUUAUUUAUUUCUUUUCUGAACAUGGUACAAUCUUGCCUCUUCCUCACCUUGUUUUAAAGACUGCGCUGUGUUUGUCUCCAGUGCUGCUAAAUAUCUCUCUACUUGACAUCUUACAAGUACUGUCAGGGAAUUCAUCAAAUGAGACAGUAAACUUGAAUAUUCAAAACACAUUACAGAUACAACAAUCAAGUUACAGUAGGUUCAAAGCAACCCAAUUAUCCUUUCUGCUUUUAUACCAUGUCCAACCUGCCAAAGGUGCCUUGGGGAGUAGGCACCUAUCCCAUGCAUGGUGUUGGUGAUGCUAACUGUACCCUUGGACUUCAUGGCUCCUUUUCACACACAGACAUGGCAAAAGGACUUUGCAGUAAAGCUGUUUUCUGUCUCUAUUCUUCCUACUUUGCAAACUGUUCCCUGGUAUUUCUCAUGUCCUUAGGAAUUGGUCUAUCUCAGGUAAUGGCUUUUUUCUUGCAGACACCUUUAGUUUAUCUGCAGCUGAGCAAAUGCACUGUGGUGUGUGUAUGGUACAGACUUGUGAUUAAAUCACGUACUUCAUUUUACCUUCAAGAUCAUGAAACCUUUUAUUUCUUCUGAAAGCUCUACAGUUGUAACUGAUUUCAGAUUGGAAAGGCUAUGGCAUCAAUUCAUACAAAUACGCAUCACAGUUGCUGUCACAACUGGGCAGAUUUUACAGCGUUGAUCUUUGAUCCUCAAUGCUUCAAAACAUUAAAAUCUAAAACAAGUGGUUUUGUUCCGUUUGAGUACAUGCACUUUUAUUUCUGCCUUUCCUGUGAUAGUAAUUAAGUCAAAGGGCACACUGAAGAUACUGAAUUUUUAUAACCGUGCCCCUGUUUCCUUUAGCUUUCCUGUCUGAUAGAGGUUUUGGCAAGAGUAACUUUCUCUGAUUUCACUUCUUGCUUCAUUGGCUUAGGGCUUCCCUAUGAUAUCCUAGAAUAGAUAUUUGACUGUGAUGGCCUUAAGCCAUUAAUAACUCAUUUUGGAGGAGACCCCUGAACAGCGUAGGCUUUAAAUAAAGCAUAGCCCAAGUGACUGGCCUGCUGCCAGCCAGAGGACAAGUGGCUUCCCUUGAAAUGCCUGACAGAGCUCGGGCACAGCCCUGACUGCAUUAGGUGGUGACUAAGGAGGGCUGGGCAGGCUCUGCCAGAGACAUGUGCAGCCUUCCUCACCUCCUGCACCUUGGGCUGAGGGGCCAUGUGGUUCAGCCUGGUACUGACCAGGGCAGACGCUUCUCAGGACUCAUCACUUUUUCUGCUUCCAACAGAUCUAAUAAACAUAUCCAAAAUACCUUUUUCAUAAUAUGUCUUUUUAAAUGUGUCAGAGUGAGCUCAGACACUUUUUGCAUACUUGCAAAGAACAACAAUGCCAGGAUUCUGUAACUGCUUUAGCCUGACUUGAUCCCUGCAGUAAUCCCCAAUCCGGCAAUCCCCUUUGCCUUGCUUCAUUAUCUCUGAUGUCUGCAAUUUAAAUGUCAUGCUCAAGAAUUAGAUAUUUAUCAUUUUUGAGUUCCUUCAGUACUGAAGGACAUCGAGUGCUCUCUUCAGAGGCAGGAUUAAUGAAUGGAGGCUAUUUUACAAACAACAGAUUUACAGUUCGAAAUCUUCCAGAGGUAAGUUGAAACAAGCUGCAUCUUUUCCUGCCAGUGUGCUUUUUUGACUACAAAGUGUUUGUAGACUUUCUUGACACUUGCUCUUGGUUAGCACUAGCAUGAGCUGUAAGGCCUGUCCCUUGCAAGCAGUCUUCCCCUUUGAGUUAAGAGGAUGAAAACUAAGCACAGAAAGUUCAGUGGCUUUUCUCAAUUCUGAUAAACCUUCCAAGCAGCUGAAAUGAAAGUGUUGGGUCAAGUAAUAACAUGGCUAUGAGAAAUGAUGGCUUACACUUGCUGGAUGUACAGUUGGCCACAGCUUAUGCUGAAGUCCUAGAAUCAAGAUUGUAGCAAAAUAUGGUGGUGGAAUGGAAGAGUGUAGUGUAACUUUUUUCUUCUUUUUAUAACAUUUUAUUUUCAAAUGGAACUAGUAUUUCAUAUGACAAAACCUCUCGAUUAUAUCCAUCUCUUGUAGACUGGGGGACGGAAAAGGUUGUUAGAUUCUAAAGCACUGGAUUGGUGAGUUAAUAUCUGAGCCAUUGGAAACAUUUAUCAGCAUUUUCCAUAACUGUAGAGUCAGCAUCUGAACAUUUGUGUUAGUUGAAUAAAAAGCGAAGGAGAACAUACUGCCUUUACCUCAGCAGGUUUAAAGUGAAAACAUUAGCUCUUUUUUGCAUUAAGAUGGAAGAACAACAUGAUAGCAGUUCUUGCUUUGUUUUUCUUUAUUGUGGGAUGCGUGUGGCUUAGUGUCCUCAACGUGAGAAGCUUCAAGAACUUGUGCUGCAGCUGAGUCAAAGAAGUUAAAAUUGAUAGAGAAAUUCCUAAACAAAAUAACUCUUGUAGUAGAAUAAGAUACAGAAUACAGAAUGCCUUUCUGUAACUUUUUCUUCUUCAUGGACUUCUCCUAGUGACCCGCACUCAUAAUUUGGAAAACAAAUGUAUUGUAAAAGCAGUAACUUAAAAGCAAGUCACUGCUAAAGUCUAAUCUUUGUGUUUUAAUGCUUAGGAUACAUCCUAAAAUUAGGUUUUAAAUCCAUUCCUGGUCUCUGUAUACCUAGAAAACUGACAUAACAUCUCAUAGGAUGUGCUAACUAAAUACCAAGGUUUACAGUCAAAACAUGAACAUCGUAGUUGAUUUCUGUAGAUGCUGUUUAUGUUCAAAGGUCCAGGAGAAAAAUAUCUCCAGUUGCUGGAAUUUGCACCUCAUUUCUGCUUGAGUAAAGAAGAAAGGAACAAAUGGUUCACGGUCCCAUAAAAAUCCCGUUUGUUUUGCUAACGUAAUCUUACAAGAUUUAUUUGAGAAAUAUUCCAUUCUGUUUCUUUCAUGACUGCAGUUCUGUAAAUUCAAGAUUUAAUGGCAACUCCAGAUGUUGGAAUUUUGUGAAUAAUAUUUUUUUCAAUUUUAGUGGAAACUUUAUCCAGAGAAGAGCAAGAGAGCGUAAUUUUUAAGUAGCAGCUGAAUGCCUCAGCCCUUUACUGGAGUCUGUGCUAGUAACCUGGUACCGUUACUGCUGCUUUUAUGGCUUUCUUCCUCGACCCUUCCUCUUGCCCCUCAAGUUUUUCUGUAGUUCCUUGGAUACCUUUUGAGAAUUUGUUGCUUGUGCUUCCUUGCUGUUUCGUUCCUGCUGUUGCUUACAUGGAUAACACUGAAGUGUAACGUGGAGAUCAGAUUUGACAUCCAAACUGCACAAGAUAAAUGAGGUGGUUCCCAGAUUUCAGAUGCUGUAUUGGAAUUUUGGACAGACAGGAUGAUGGUCAUGAAUAUAUACAGCUAUAUAUGAAUGAGUGGGACACAAGCAGAGCUGAAGCUCUAAAAAUACUAAUUCAUAUGAUGGCUCAGUAGGCUCAAUGAUCUUCUGAGUUGGAUUCAGCUUGGAAGUAAUGCACCUUAAACUUAGGUUGUACCCUCUUAGUUCUUUCUGUGGUCAGACUCUUUGAAAUGCGGCUGAAAACUUGGGCUAGACACUGCAGCAAUUGAGUUGCUCCAACUUCUGUGCGCCUCGUUGAGCCAUCUGAGUUCUUGGCUUCACUUAAUCCUUUAGAAUCACAGCAUCUAACUGACAUGAGGGUGGUUGUGAGGACAUCGGGGUGGAUUUAUUUCACUGUGGGAGAAGUUUUGUGCUGGACAGCCUCAAUUCUGAGGAGUGAGUGUUUGGGGAGUUGCAGUGGGUGUUGGGUAUACAUCUGUGGGAAGCAAGUCCUUUCUAUUUACUCAAAGCAAGUACUGUGAAGCAGUGCAAGAAGUUAACUUCUACAUUUUGGCAGUUAGUCUGCACUAUUAUCAGCUCUUAAUUUUAGUUUAGUCAUUGUUUGCUGGUAACUAUGCUGUGAUAUCCUUAAAUAGAAUUCUUUCCUUAGUGGCUGCAAUGAAAAGCUUAAAAGCAGCCUGAUUGCCCUUUGAGUUAAACACAAAUGCUGUAUUGCUAGUGAUCUUAUCUACAGUGACAUCUUCACAAGUUUGCUUGUCAUCAUCAGUGAGGUGCUUUGUUUCAGUUCAUUGACCUUCAUGGUAUUACAGGCUGCUCUCUGGCUGUGACUCUACUUUUCUGGAUUGAAGAAUUUGUUUUAAAACCAACAACAAGGAAAACAAACAAAAAAGCAAACAAAGAAAAACCUUGCAAGCCUUAUGAGUUUGAUUUCAAACAGCAUAUUCAUGGUGCUUCUUGAUCAGCACGGCUGGAGAUGUUCUUGCUGCUUUUUUUCCAGUGGUGUGUCAUUCCUGCAUGACUUGCUUCAAGCCAUAUUUGUUGUGGUAUCUACAGAAACUUUGGGCAGGUCUUUUAUCUGUGCUCUGGUAAACUCCUUGUAGGUUUUAAUUGCACCAGUAAGUCACGUAUUAAAAGUACAAAUUACAGUUGGUGAGAUAUUGGAAUUUGUUUUUGACCAUGCAUUCAGAGAGUUGAGUAUUAAUGUGGCUCAAAGCCUCCUGGCUUUGCUCUGAAACCUGUGUAAACAAAUGUUUAAGCAACUAUGGAUGUGUCUGUGUGGCAUGUUCUAUUUAUGCAGAAGUUUUUGCAGCCUUCAUAAUAAAUACUGUCCAUAAUUUAGCUUGCCAAUUUCCCUGUUAAUGAAGAAUAUGGAAUGAACCUACAGAACAGCCAAAGCUCUCAUAACUCAUUAGUGAUCACUUACCAAAACAAACAAGCAAAAAAGCCCAACACCAAGCUGACAGUUCUUCAGUGUUAAACCUUUGGAAGCAGCAAUGCAUGGAAAACAAGAUGUAAGGAAGAAUUGUCUGCAGCAGGUAAUUUUACUAAUUGCUAACUUUGGUGCUAUGAAGAAUGAGAUAGAAACAUUUUGCAUGUUUGUGGAGGCUUUUUAAAUGCUCACUGCAAGACUGCUGUCUUACCUUAGAACAUUCUUGUCCUUCUCUAGUUUGAGAAAUGAAUAGAAAACAGCUUUCUGUGUAGUUUGAGACUUGCAGUUGAUUAAUCUCUAAUUCUGGCCCCCAACUGGCAUACUCUGGUUAACUGCUUCACUUGCACGUGGGUUUGUUCCUGUAGUGAUUUACAAAGUGCAGGAACAAAUGCAGUAGGUGCACUGUAUGUCACGUUGACAGUGCCUCAUGAUGUGCCCGUGCAUCAAACACAAAUGCAGAAACACUGCUGAUGUUGCCUUUCUGGGGGAGGCUUUGGUACGUCGGAGUAGUAGCCAACUUCAGUAUCAAGGCAGCGUGCACUUCUUAAGGCCAUUUACAACAAGGAUGAAGGAUUUUGUUUGUACUUGCUGCAGAAGUUGUAGCAAAUGCCAGACAAAUAUUCCUGUAUGUACUUAACUCAUUUUAAGAGCCUGCUCUUGGCACUGAAUUAAUCCACUGUCUGGUUGUGGAAAUAAAUAAAAAGCUUUGAGACAAUCAAACUUUCAUCUGCUCUAGGUGUAGUCACUCAUGUAUAACCUUUUGAGGACUAAUUUGUGAUGAGGCCUAAGCCGACAUUUAAACACAUUCAGGUCUGCUUUUCUCAGAGCAGAAAACUACCUGAAGGCUGAUGCUUAGAUCUAAGCCUCUAACAGCUUAUGAAGAGAUAUGCUGAUAAGUAACAUACCUUAGCAAAAUAUACCUUCUAGAUCUCUUUUACUAUAUGUAGAACAGCUUUGCAGUUUAAUGUCUUACUGUAUGCAAGCUUUUUUGUAUAAAUAACUGCAGCUAUGAAGUUCAGAUUUUUUAAUUUAUGUGCAGUUUUCAUUUUGUUUUUUCCUGUGCAGAGCUCUCAGUAAGGGGAGACUUGUCAAGAUAGUUGCCUUUAGCCAGCCUGUUGUGUGUGAGCAUGUACAGCACUGAUCUCAAGCAGAAAGACUGAACAGUAUUUGAAGUAACUGCUGAAGAAAGAAACCAAAACACGCUUUUUAAUGGGUAACCUACAGAAGAAGAUAAGACUAAAAGCCAUUAAUAGGUUAUCCCUAACCAGUAAAAAGGCACAGCUGCUGAAAGGAGGAAGAUCAGUGAAGAUUGUAAUUACGAACAACGCUUUGUUAAAGGAGCAAGCUACUUGCCAUGCAAACUUCUGAAAUGACUGUUGUGGCGUAUUUUAUCUCAAGUGAACUGAUGUUUCUUCAGCAUUCAGAAUUUGGUUAGCCUUCUGUUAUUAGACUCUGCACCAUUCCUUCAUUGGUAAUUAUUUCAGUCUAAAAGUCAUGAUCUUACUGCUGAUUAACCAGGAAGUAACUUGUAGGGAUCUUAGAGCACUGAAGAAAAUCUCAGGACCGUUAAAGAAGAUAAGGCUAUUCAAAAUACCACUUAUGUUUCAGCUGCUUGUUUUCAAUCACAUAACUCAAAAGAAAAGAGUUGAAUCCCAGCAGUACAGUAGCAAUACCCAGAUGCAGCUGAGAAAAGCAUGUUUUAUACUGGGUGUAAGUGCCAAAUAAAUACGCUGCGGAGUGCUGAUGUUACACAGGCUGCAUUUCUUCAAGAAGCCAUGUCACUCAUUCCUGAAGAUGCUAAUGUGGUGUACGUGAGAGGCUACUCACUUGUGUGAGGCAUGCUAAAUGUGGAUCUGGCAGGAAAUGCUCAUAUUAUAAUGAUUUUUUUCAAAGUUGGCAAUCUUAAAGCUUUGUCAGAACGUUGUUUCUCUGCACACAUGUAAGUCAUCUCUGCAUCAGAGAUGAAAUAUCAUAGAAUCAUAGAAUGGCCUGGGUUGAAAAGGACCACAGUGCUCAUCCAGUUUUAACCCUCUGCUAUGUGCAGGGUCUCCAACCAGCAGCCCAGGCUGCCCAGAGCCACAUCCAGCCUGGCCUUGAAUGCCUGCAGGGAUGGGGCAUCCACAGCCUCCUUGGGCAACCUGUUCCAGUGCCUCACCACCCUCUGUGUGAAAAACUUCCUCCUCAUAUCCAACCUUUCCUUUUUGUAACUGAGUACCAUUAUUUUAAAACUAUAAACUCAAUGUUUAUUCCUUUGAAUAAGGUUUAUAAUUAAAAUUCUUGGGUGAUAACUGUCAUGUUAAUACAUGCAAUCAGAGUGAUACUUUCCAACACAGUUCCCAGUACUACCUGAUGUUAAAUCUUUUUGCACUGAAACUGUCCCUGUGACAGUAUGCACCCAGUCUUUUCUUAAAAGGUUUAUUUGAUCCUUUGUGAAAAAUGCCAGCUCCCAAUACCAAAUCAUUAAACCUCCAUCUAUGAGGUACAAGUCUUUGAGAUGUGGGAACACAUUUGUGUAUACCCAGGUCAUAGGUGUGCAAACAGAAGUCUAAACCUUGUUAUGAGUAGGGCAUGAGUAGCUCACACCUUUCUUCUUGCCAAAAAGAGAAAUGAAAGAUGAAGAAAAUGCUCUAGAAAGUCCUGAGGAAAUGAACGCUCAGCCCAUCCAAAACAGGGAUUGCUGCUCCAGUCCUGAAUAGCUUUCCAGCCUGAUGUUUUUCUUGCCUCUUCAUGACGUCGUGUCUUAAGAGCAGCCUACCUGGAUCCCCUGGUUCCUGUUUCUUCCUGUUUCAAAAUUCUGCUCUCCCCACGUUUUACAUCCCAUACCUUAUGCCAUAUACACACACUGGGCUUGUGCUGCUUUUUUAAGUCUUCACUGUUUUUUCUGAGACUUUGGUUGGGUUCCAUCCAAGAUUCUCCACUUGACACUGUUCUCCUCAAUCCCCAGCCACAGUGAAGGUUUCUCCUGUUGAAUAUGUCAGUCAUGGUUUUUAGGCUUCAGGGAGACUGUCUGUUUUUUUUUUUUUCUGCUAUUUGACUCAUUGUAAGCAGAGUUUGAGGAAGAAGUUACAGUUCUUUUUGUUGCUCUUCUCAUAAAGCAAGUGUGGUAAAAGAGAACUUGUGGGUUGUUGGCAGGGGGGAGCUGAUAAGAAUCGUGAACAUAUUUAUCUUCUGCGUGUAAAGAAGAAAGCAAACCAAACACACACACACACACACACCCCAACACUUCUCAGAUGUGCUUAAAUUCAUGAGAUGUUUGUUCUGCCCCUUUCUAUCCUUAUUAGGAAAUGCAGUCGCAUGCUUCCAGGCUAAAUGUCCUUCUUUUUUCUUCUGUCAAGUGAUUUCUAUUUGUGUGCAAUUUGCAUAAUUCUGAGGACUUUUUCUGUGCCAGUGCUCAGCUGUGGAAUCCCUUACGCCUCACACCAUAAGAGGACCUCUUAUGAACAGAACAUGUUACAGACUCAACCAUGGUUUUUCUUCUGUAAAACACUCACAGAUAUCUUUGAGGAGGUUUGGUUGUGAAUGUCUUCAGUUGUCUGGUCACUUCUUUGCUAACUGAAUCUAAAUAAAUCCAAAGUGUUUGUGUGUGUGUUGCCCUCUGGUUGAAGUAGGGCAUUUGAGGAAUAAUACCAGCUUUCGUUUCUAGUCUUUGGAGUUCAUGUUGUAGCAGUUGCAGAUCUCCCUUAAGUUCCACAUGUGUCUGUAUGGUUUGUGUGAGUUCAAAGACUGCACCCUCAUAGCUGCUGUUUCCCUUGCUGUGGUUACUGGGAUGCAACAUGGAUUUAAAAUCAUAACUUCUCGUUCAGCUACAAUGCAGGAGCAUAUUAAGACAGCACUUUGAGCUACGGUGUGAAUUUCUGGAUGUGUAAACCACUCUUUCCUAUCGUUCUUCCUGUGUGAAACCUUUGGGGAAUGGGAGAACAUGCUGGGGUUUUCUUUGUUUGUUAAGUAAAGUUUUGUAUGGUGAAUCUUAAGGAUAUGUCCUCGCUUUUAAAAUAAAAUGGUAAAGCAGCUUGUGUGCAUGUGUGAAGUCUUGAAAUUAACUGAAAUCCUAUCUUACCUUGAAGCAUUUGUGUAAUUUAUAAAUACUUGGUGACUUCUGUUUUUGUUUUUGCAAUACUGGAUUGAUGUUACGAAUCCAUAUCAUGUGGCUGCCUGAUAUUUCCAUGGGAAUUCUCAUCAGAGGAGACCUCUCAGUGGUUUUAUAUUACUUUGUGUACUUCUGUAACAGAACUUUCCAAGUAAAAUACUGUAGUAGGUUGUUGGGUAAUGAAAUUACUGGAUACAUUGUAUUGUUUGAGAUCUUUACAAUGCUGAAACUUAAAAUAAUUGCUGUGAGUUAGCCUGGGAAUAAUUGCCUUUGUUGUUUUUUUGUG
This is a long non-coding RNA of Lagopus muta (rock ptarmigan), 20575 nucleotides long. RefSeq lists it as uncharacterized. The record is from RefSeq and is a predicted model, not a curated record. The transcript is spliced from 3 exons. NCBI's taxonomy places the organism in Eukaryota, Metazoa, Chordata, Aves, Galliformes, Phasianidae.